RNAcentral lists this transfer RNA (71 nucleotides) under Microcaldota archaeon. Its description in RNAcentral is "tRNA-Gly". It matches the Rfam family "tRNA". From Rfam's summary of the family: Transfer RNA (tRNA) molecules are approximately 80 nucleotides in length. The record is from RNAcentral. Lineage: Archaea; Nanobdellati; Microcaldota.
GCGACCGUAGUCUAGUGGCAGGAUCUUGGCUUCCCAAGCCAAUGACCCGGGUUCGAACCCCGGCGGUCGCA